Molecule: ribosomal RNA, 669 nt
Filed under: uncultured bacterium
Lineage: Bacteria
Description: bacterial SSU rRNA
Rfam family: Bacterial small subunit ribosomal RNA
Source: RNAcentral
GAGUAAUAUAUCGGAACGUACCCGAGAGUGGGGGACAACCAGUCGAAAGAUUGGCUAAUACCGCAUACGACCUACGGAUGAAAGUGGGGGACCUUCGGGCCUCACGCUCCUGGAGCGGCCGAUAGCUGAUUAGCUAGUUGGUGGGGUAAAUGCCUACCAAGGCGAUGAUCAGUAGCUGGUCUGAGAGGACGAUCAGCCACACUGGGACUGAGACACGGCCCAGACUCCUACGGGAGGCAGCAGUGGGGAAUUUUGGACAAUGGGGGCAACCCUGAUCCAGCAAUGCCGCGUGAGUGAAGAAGGCCUUCGGGUUGUAAAGCUCUUUUGUCAGGGAAGAAAAGGGCUGGGUUAAUACCCUGGUUUCAUGACGGUACCUGAAGAAUAAGCACCGGCUAACUACGUGCCAGCAGCCGCGGUAAUACGUAGGGUGCGAGCGUUAAUCGGAAUUACUGGGCGUAAAGCGUGCGCAGGCGGUUGUGUAAGACAGAUGUGAAAUGCCCGGGCUUAACCUGGGAAUUGCAUUUGUGACUGCACGGCUAGAGUGUGUCAGAGGGGGGUAGAAUUCCACGUGUAGCAGUGAAAUGCGUAGAUAUGUGGAGGAAUACCGAUGGCGAAGGCAGCCCCCUGGGAUAACACUGACGCUCAUGCACGAAAGCGUGGGGAGCAAAC